Molecule: long non-coding RNA, 235 nt
Organism: Lampris incognitus (smalleye Pacific opah)
Lineage: Eukaryota; Metazoa; Chordata; Actinopteri; Lampriformes; Lampridae
Exons: 3
Source: RefSeq, a predicted model, not a curated record
GGGAGAUGGACAAGCGGAGACAAAUAGAGAAAGAGUGUGGCAGAAGGAAAGGAGAGCGCGAGACGGAGAUGAGAUGAAGAUAUGGAAAGCCUGGAGAUUGUAAUCUGCACACAGAUUACAAUCUGUGUACAGAGCAGCUCAUGGCUGAAGGGCCUGCAAACCAGCACAGGCGCUGAUCAGUGACAUGCAUGCAACGUGGAAGAAGUAAUGGGUCAAUGCAAAAGCUUGGGACAGC